GAUGAACGCUGGCUGCGUGCUUAACACAUGCAAGUCGAACGGUGAACCUCUUCGGAGGGGAUCAGUUGCGAACGGGUGAGUAACACGUUGGCAACCUGCCCCCGUCUCUGUUAUAACUCCAAGAAAUUGGGGCUAAUACCGGAUGUUCACCGCUUCCCGCAUGGGUGGUUGUGGAAAGGGUUUCCGGCUGGGGAUGAUCGCGCGGCCUAUCAGCCUGUUGGUUGGGUAGUGGCCUACCAAGGCGACGACGGAUAGCCGGCCUGAGAGUGUGACCGGCCACACGGGGAAUGAGACUAGGCGCAGACUCAUAGAGGAGGAAGGAGUGAGGAACAUGGCGCAGAGGGCGGAAGGCUGAGGCAACGACGCCGCGUGGGGGAGGUCUGCAUUCGGGUUGUAAACCUCUAUGAGCGCGGACGGAGCGUAAGUGACGGUACCUGACGAAGAAGCACCGGCCAACUACGUG
This 463-nucleotide ribosomal RNA is filed under the name uncultured bacterium. RNAcentral describes it as "partial 16S ribosomal RNA". It matches the Rfam family "Bacterial small subunit ribosomal RNA", at positions 28 to 507 of the family's 1533-position model. The record is from RNAcentral.